AUCGGCUUACUAAAUCAGCUCACUUUCUACCUUUUCGAGUUGGUACUCCACUUGAUAAGUUAGCCCAAAUGUAUAUUGAUGGAAUUGUACACCUGCACAGUGUUCCAAUAAGUAUUGUAUCUGAUCGAGAUCCACGAUUUGUAUCUAGAUUUUGAAAAAAAUUUCAAGAUGCUUUGGGAACAGAAUUGAGGCUUAGUACUGCAUUCUAUCCCC
RNAcentral lists this long non-coding RNA (213 nucleotides) under Elaeis guineensis (African oil palm). Its description in RNAcentral is "long non-coding RNA (EGUI_LNC082393)". The record is from RNAcentral. Lineage: Eukaryota; Viridiplantae; Streptophyta; Magnoliopsida; Arecales; Arecaceae.